GCGCGGCGCGGCGCGGCCUUGGGGGCCCCGGGGCCCCUCGCAAGGCGGCUGCGUCCUGCAGAGCGGGGCCCGGCCGGGGUGGGGUGCGAUAAGCCCUUGUCGCCCGCUGUCCCCGCUCGGCGGUGUGUGCCACGAGCCCCCGGGAGCCCAGCGCCGCUCCACGUGCGUCUCAGCCCCGGCCGGCGAGAGGUUCAUAGCAGGCCCAGGCGCAUGGGUGGAGGCGGUAGCUGUCUGAAGUAGCCAAGAUCUUCAGUUGAUAUCGCUAAUUACCAUCUUAUGGUGCCAAAGUUUGCAAGCCUCUGUGCAGCACAGAAUGAAAUGACAUAUUCCCUGCCCCGAGGAGUUUACAAUCUGAGUGGAUCUGACAACACGAGGGUGUGACAGGACACCACGGGGUUGCAGCAGCAGGAUCAUGCUGUUGAGGACUUAACUUACUCCAGGACUACAGAUGAGAGAAAGCAACAGCUCCAGAGGCCUCUUGGGAUGGCAGGAUGGAUCUGACAACGCAAGGUGUGACAGAAUGCCACAAGGUUGCAGCAACAGAAUCCCGGGAUCCAGUGCCCAGACAAAGGAACAGCAUUAAGUGACAUUACUGGGAGAGUGUUGGUGACAUCACAGGGAACAGAGUUAUGACAGUGAUGGAUGCUAUACUGUGUCAACAGUCUCAUGGGAUUUGACAUGCAUCUGCUAUUGAGGAAUGGAAUCUGUCUGCUGGGUAUCUUUAUGACCUUUUUCCCCACAUUACUCUGAAAGAUGCAGACACACUUGCAAGAAGUAUUUCAGCACAUGAAACUGGAAAUUUUGAAUGUUGCCUUCUGCAUGUAUAUUCAAGAUGAUUGAAAACAGUUUGACAAGUAGACAUGACUAAUUUCUCCAUUGCUAGACGCAGAAGUCAAAGUCUUCCUGGAGGUGCUGAGUGCAAGACUCAUUUCCAGAAACCUGAGAGUGGAAACACCCUUGGAGGGUAAAGAAGCCAUUCAGAAAUCACAUUUCCCAGCUGGGAGUGCACGCUCUGUAAAAUCCUUCAGUAUAAUAAAACCAGGCAUAUGAACCACAUUUACUCUGAAAAUGUCCCAUCUCCAUGACACCAGCACCAGUGGAGGAGAUGGGAUCCUGGGUUGCCCAGCCCAGUGCUCUCCCACCGUCCUUUCUCUCCGUCCUGGCAAAUCAGCAGCGAGGUGCUGGGAUAACUGACCAACUCCCUAUUUGCGUCCUGCUUUUCAUUUUCAAACUGCUUGCCGGCGGGAGGCCGGGCUGCCUGCAAUCUGUGCUGACGGGAGCCCGUGCAGAGCCCAUCGCCAGGCCUGGCAGUGGCGAGAAGCAGAUGGUGCCGUGUUCCUGCAAACUCCCCUUUCUGAGGUGUCCUGUUCUGCCCAGCACAGGCGGACAUCAAAAGCCGAUAUUGCUCUUUGGCAGUAGCAUUCGCCAAACAGCCUGGGAUGUGACAAUUUUGUGUGUGUCUACUGCAGCUUUUCCCCUCCCUGGUUGCCCAAGAGGUUUUGUCCAUGGAAAUUUUAGUUUAAAAAAUAAGGAAGUGCAGGUCCUACUUGUUGGACACAAACACGAUGCCAUAUGGCUCGGGAGAAGCAUGCUCUGACACAGGAGCGCGGCGUGUCCUACCUCCAGCCCCAAGAGUGGGGGUGCAUGUCAGCCAGCACCCUGCCUGACAGCAGUCUUCAGGGACGUGUGCUAGCUGCACACAAGCCAAGCCUCAUUAUAAGACAACAGAGAUAGACCCAUAGAAAAACAUGUCUAUGGCCAGGCUGGAUUCCUUGAGGAUCCCCAGCAAACAGCAGGCAUGUGGCCACCCCCACAAGGACCCGCGUGUCUGUCGGCUCUCAUUACACAGACUUCAGCACAGGAGAAAGGAGAAAAAUGCGAAAGCACUGACUGUGCAUCAGGGAACAGAGAAGGGCAGUUUGCCCUUUCUGCUGCCAGCACAAGGGACUCUGUCCCUCAGGAGCAUUGAUCUUGAAGUCAACAGGAUUAGGCACCUGCUGGAAGUUAAGCAGAUGCUUACCUGUGCAGCUGGAUCAGCACCAGCUCCAUGUGUGGGUGAGCACUGACUAAUGACUCUUGUGAUGGUGCUAAAGAAAAGCAGACAGACAUACGGAUGGGGUCAGCUGAACUUCCAGGCAUCCACCAAAACAUUUGCAAUAGCCCAAUACCUCAAAGCAAUUAUAUGUAUAUUUUUGAAUGAAUAUAUAUUUGGGGAGGGCAAAAAAAAAAGACAUAGUUCAGCUCCAAAGACCUACACACAGAGGGGCAGCAUAGCUAAUGCUUGUGCUCACUCUCCCCAGUAGCUGCAAACACCCUUGGCUCUUCAUAGCCUUUGCCUUACAUGCAUGCACGCAUGCACACAUGCAUAUCCACACACACACACAGAUAUAAAUAUAUAUAUAUAUACACAUAUGUAUAUAUAUCCUUCACAUUACUGGUGUGAAGUUAGUCCUGAAUAUUUGUGUGGGAGUAGGUCAAAGGAGUGAGAGAACAAGCUUCCUGCUUUGACGGCCUCUCCAGGGGAAUCUGCUCCUGAGCGCAAUGGGAAGAAGGGAUGCAGCAGUCCUGUGACCUCCUUCCCCGGCUUGUUGUGGAUGACCAUGCGAGUCACCCCAGCACGGCGCUCCGUGACUCCGAUGGGCAUCUACACAGCAGGUGGCCUGUAUGUCUUUCUGUUACAUUUUUAACAUUAUGUGCUCCAGUUGCAGCUUAAAAAUGACCAAGCGAUCUUUAUUCUAAAUGCAAGAAGUGCAUUUCAUUUGCAUAGCUCUGAUGGGAUUAAAGGAGGCAUUAGAGUAAUUAAGGUCACUGGGGUUUGCCAUUUGCUUAAUCCCUAAAUCCAGCUCUGCUCCAACAUUAUUCAGUAAUAUCAUGGGGCAAAAGGUCACUGCAACAAUAUAUGCCUGUCUAACCUUCCAUCAUAAAGAGAUAAAUGAUUUUUGGACAGUUAAAAGGAAUAAAGGCAGAAUGCUUUGUGUGCACAGCAUAGGCACAAAUCAGUGACACCACCACACCUGCAGACAAGGUAGGUAGGUAGGUAGAAGCAGCCCCUCGCGCAGCAGGUGGCACACAGAAGACAGUAGGAGCCAUAAAGAGCUGUGUCUCCAUGGGUUUGCAGCACAGGCAGGUUUUCAUAUGUUACAGGUGAGAGCAUGUCCCGGAUGUGACAAUGGCAGACUUAGACCGACAUGCAUGGUUUGUUAUGAAUGGUUUUUGCACUUUGCACUGGUAAUGUGAAAAUGAUAGAAUAUAACAAAAAUUGUCAUGAUGCCGCACUGUUUUCCUUUCAUUGUUCUGACACCUGGCUUCAAAAAAAAAAAAAAAAAACAAAGAAGCAACUUUUCCUGCUUUCAAAAUUCUAGGUUUGGUAAAAUCAAAAAUAUUUAACUAAGGAGAAUAUAAGAAAUGAAUACAUGUGAAAUUUUAAGUUUCACAUUUGUAAUACUGCUAUUUGAAGAAAACUAGAAAAAAGGAAAAAAAAUGCCUAUGACCAUGUGUGUCAGUGAAAAUCUGUUUUAUAAAGGACAUAUACAUUAUUUUCCACAUAGACUUCACAAGAAACUUUGCCUCAGAUACCAUCUGAAUCCAAAGCAAACCAUGUAUCAUACUAUCUCUUAUGUUUAUCUGUUUUUUUCUGGUUCUAGAUGGGAAGAUUUAUAAUACUUUUUAUGCACAAGAGUUUAUAUGGUUUCGGGAAAAAAACCCCAAAUGAUCCACAUCCUACGUAGGCAUUGCAGUAAAGUUCUUUCAGAGUUUAAAAUACUAAAUGAUCCCUCUGUUAAAAUGAUAGUAAUAAAUGCACAGGCAGCAUUUGGAAGAUAUUGUAUUGUUGAAUAUUAUGUGUUCUUCUCAGUAAGCUUGCAGCAGUUAUUCCUUUUAAUUAAAUCUACAUGCAUUUCA
Molecule: long non-coding RNA, 3900 nt
Organism: Dromaius novaehollandiae (emu)
Lineage: Eukaryota; Metazoa; Chordata; Aves; Casuariiformes; Dromaiidae
Exons: 6
Source: RefSeq, a predicted model, not a curated record